Molecule: ribosomal RNA, 441 nt
Filed under: uncultured bacterium
Lineage: Bacteria
Description: partial 16S ribosomal RNA
Rfam family: Bacterial small subunit ribosomal RNA
Source: RNAcentral
CUACGGGAGGCUGCAGUCGAGAAUCUUUCGCAAUGGCCGAAAGGCUGACGAAGCAAUACCGCGUGAAGGAUGACACCCCUCGGGGCGUAAACUUCUUUUCUUAGGGAAGAAUUAGUGACGUUACCUAAGGAAUAAGCAACUGCUAACUUCGUGCCAGCAGCAGCGGUAAUACGAAGGUUGCAAGCGUUAUCCGGAAUUAUUGGGCGUAAAGCGUCUGUAGGUGGUUUGUUAAGUCUCAAAUUAAAACUCUAGGCUCAACCUAGAGAUAGUUUGAGAAACUAAUAAACUAGAGGAUGGGAGAGGUAAGCGGAAUGGCCGGUGUAGUAGUAAUAUGCAUUGAUAUCGGCUAGAACACCAAAUGCAAAGGCAGCUUACUAGAACAUUCCUGACACUGAGAGACGAAAGCGUGGGUAGCGAAUGGGAUUAGAUACCCGAGUAGUC